Molecule: ribosomal RNA, 637 nt
Filed under: Bipolaris sorokiniana
Lineage: Eukaryota; Fungi; Ascomycota; Dothideomycetes; Pleosporales; Pleosporaceae
Description: LSU rRNA
Rfam family: Eukaryotic large subunit ribosomal RNA
Source: RNAcentral
AGCAUAUCAAUAAGCGGAGGAAAAGAAACCAACAGGGAUUGCCCUAGUAACGGCGAGUGAAGCGGCAACAGCUCAAAUUUGAAAUCUGGCUCUUUCAGAGUCCGAGUUGUAAUUUGCAGAGGGCGCUUUGGCUUUGGCAGCGGUCCAAGUUCCUUGGAACAGGACGUCACAGAGGGUGAGAAUCCCGUACGUGGUCGCUAGCUAUUGCCGUGUAAAGCCCCUUCGACGAGUCGAGUUGUUUGGGAAUGCAGCUCUAAAUGGGAGGUAAAUUUCUUCUAAAGCUAAAUAUUGGCCAGAGACCGAUAGCGCACAAGUAGAGUGAUCGAAAGAUGAAAAGCACUUUGGAAAGAGAGUCAAACAGCACGUGAAAUUGUUGAAAGGGAAGCGCUUGCAGCCAGACUUGCUUGCAGUUGCUCAUCCGGGCUUUUGCCCGGUGCACUCUUCUGUAGGCAGGCCAGCAUCAGUUUGGGCGGUGGGAUAAAGGUCUCUGUCACGUACCUCUCUUCGGGGAGGCCUUAUAGGGGAGACGACAUACCACCAGCCUAGACUGAGGUCCGCGCAUCUGCUAGGAUGCUGGCGUAAUGGCUGUAAGCGGCCCGUCUUGAAACACGGACCAAGGAGUCCCCCAUCUAUGCGA